This 356-nucleotide ribosomal RNA is filed under the name uncultured Glomeraceae. RNAcentral describes it as "SSU rRNA". It matches the Rfam family "Eukaryotic small subunit ribosomal RNA", at positions 569 to 929 of the family's 1831-position model. Lineage: Eukaryota; Fungi; Glomeromycota; Glomeromycetes; Glomerales; Glomeraceae. The record is from RNAcentral.
AGCAGCCGCGGUAAUUCCAGCUCCAAUAGCGUAUAUUAAAGUUGUUGCAGUUAAAAAGCUCGUAGUUGAAUUUCGGGAUCAGCGCGUCGGUCGUGCCUCCGGUAUGCACUGGCGCCGCUGGUUUCUCCCUUCUGAGGAACCGUGAUGUCAUUAAUUUGGUGUUGCGGGAAAUCAGGACUGUUACUUUGAAAAAAUUAGAGUGUUUAAAGCAGGCUCGCGCUUGAAUACAUUAGCAUGGAAUAAUGAAAUAGGACGUUCGAUCCUAUUUUGUUGGUUUCUAGGAUUGACGUAAUGAUUAAUAGGGAUAGUUGGGGGCAUUAGUAUUCAAUUGUCAGAGGUGAAAUUCUUGGAUUUAU